UGCCAUUGAGUGGGGGAUAACGUAGCGAAAGUUGCGCUAAUACCGCAUAUUCUGUGAGCAGGAAAGCAGGGGACCGCAAGGCCUUGCGCUCUUUGAGCGGCCGAUGUCAGAUUAGCUAGUUGGUGAGGUAACGGCUUACCAAGGCGACGAUCUGUAGCGGGUCUGAGAGGAUGAUCCGCCACACUGGAACUGAGACACGGUCCAGACUCCUACGGGAGGCAGCAGUGGGGAAUUUUGGACAAUGGGGGCAACCCUGAUCCAGCCAUGCCGCGUGAGUGCAGAAGGCCUCCGGGUUGUAAAGCUCUUUCGGCCGGGAAGAAAUCGCAUGGGCCAAUACCCUGUGUGGAUGACGGUACCGGAAUAAGAAGCACCGGCUAACUACGUGCCAGCAGCCGCGGUAAUACGUAGGGUGCGAGCGUUAAUCGGAAUUACUGGGCGUAAAGCGUGCGCAGGCGGUUUUGUAAGACAGGCGUGAAAUCCCCGGGCUCAACCUGGGAACUGCGUUUGUGACUGCAAGGCUAGAGUACGGCAGAGGGGGGUGGAAUUCCACGUGUAGCAGUGAAAUGCGUAGAGAUGUGGAGGAACACCAAUGGCGAAGGCAGCCCCCUGGGUCGAUACUGACGCUCAUGCACGAAAGCGUGGGUAGCAAACAGGAUUAGAUACCCUGGUAGUCCACGCCCUAAACUAUGUCAACUAGGUGUUGGGUGGGUAAAACCAUUUAGUACCGUAGCUAACGCGUGAAGUUGACCGCCUGGGGAGUACGGCCGCAAGGUUAAACUCAAAGGAAUUGACGGGGACCCGCACAAGCGGUGGAUGAUGUGGAUUAAUUCGAUGCAACGCGAAAAGCCUUACCUACCCUUGACAUGCCAGGAACUUGCCAGAGAUGGCUUGGUGCCCGAAAGGGAGCCUGGACACAGGUGCUGCAUGGCUGUCGUCAGCUCGUGUCGUGAGAUGUUGGGUUAAGUCCCGCAACGAGCGCAACCCUUGUCGUUAAUUGCCAUCAUUUAGUUGGGCACUUUAGCGAGACUGCCGGUGACAAACCGGAGGAAGGUGGGGAUGACGUCAAGUCCUCAUGGCCCUUAUGGGUAGGGCUUCACACGUCAUACAAUGGUCGGUACAAAGGGUCGCCAAGCCGCGAGGUGGAGCCAAUCCCAGAAAGCCGAUCGUAGUCCGGAUUGCAGGCUGCAACUCGCCUGCAUGAAGUCGGAAUCGCUAGUAAUCGUGGAUCAGCAUGUCACGGUGAAUACGUUCCCGGGUCUUGUACACACCGCCCGUCACACCAUGGGAGCGGGUUCCGCCAGAAGUAGGUAGCCUAACCGCAAGGAGGGCGCUUACCACGGCGGGGUUCGUGACUGGGGUGAAGUCGAAACAAGGUAGCCGUAGGGGAACCUGCGGCUG
This 1398-nucleotide ribosomal RNA is filed under the name metagenome. RNAcentral describes it as "bacterial SSU rRNA". It matches the Rfam family "Bacterial small subunit ribosomal RNA". The record is from RNAcentral.